GUCUAUGUCAAUGAUACCCUGAACAAGCCUGAUCUUGUCUGAUCUUGAAAGCUAAGCAGGAUCAGGCCUGAUUAGUACUUGGAUGGGAGAUCACCUAGAAAGCCCAGGUGCUGUAGGUG
This 119-nucleotide ribosomal RNA is filed under the name Pteropus alecto (black flying fox). The record is from RNAcentral. Lineage: Eukaryota; Metazoa; Chordata; Mammalia; Chiroptera; Pteropodidae.